This 864-nucleotide long non-coding RNA is filed under the name Homo sapiens (human). Its description in RNAcentral is "HSALNT0071248". Lineage: Eukaryota; Metazoa; Chordata; Mammalia; Primates; Hominidae. The record is from RNAcentral.
AGGAAAGCUCCUGCUUCCCUUUCACCUUCCACCAUGAUUGUAAGUUUCCCGAGGCCUCCCCAGCCAUGCAGAACUGUGAAUGCAGGAAAAUUGGGAAGAAAACAUCCUGAGCUGCAACAUGGUUACUUGGUGGAGGCUGAGACCUACGAACAAUGAAGGCGGGGAGAGGAUGAGGAACUCAGGAGAAUCAAGCACAAAAUGACAGGGAAGAUAAAAGACUGGAGGAUAUACGCUCACAUUUUUGAAAUAUUAUAUGUGUGUGUGUAUAUAAAGAAACUAAUUUUUUAUUAUUUACAAUCUAAUCAGAAAAAAAAAGAGAGGAUCUUUGAUCAUUUUAGUCUCAUCAUCAGGGAGAAGUUUUCCCUGUAAAGCAAAUUUGAUGGGUCCCUCCUGUGUGUGUGGAGUAGCCCUAGGACUUCUCAGCUCUGGGCACUUGUGGUGAGGCAAGGUUUUGUUUUACACUCACCUUUCUUAUUCCUUUUCUGUCCUGAAAAUCCACUCCACCUGCCUUUCCAGAGUAAAAGAACAGGGACAAUGUGAGCAUAAUAAUAUCUCUAAGUCAGAUAAUGAGGGACCAUCAUCAAUCUUAGCAAAAAAAGGAUAGUUCAUUGUGUAGAGAUACAUUCUGAAGUAUGUGAAGCCACCUUAGAAGAUACUCAGGACCCAGGGAUCACAUGCAGACUCUGGAAUUUGAAGCCAGAAAACUGGGAACAAAACACAUUUGCGACACAGGGAGGAAAAGAGAGAAAGAGAAAACUGGAACAACCUCUAUUUCCUGCAAUAUAGCUAAUCAGAUACCCAGAGCAACCCUCCUACUGAAAACAGCUAAUAUGGUUAAUAAAACGUUAAAAACUCACCUUUCUA